Molecule: ribosomal RNA, 304 nt
Filed under: uncultured bacterium
Lineage: Bacteria
Description: partial 16S ribosomal RNA
Rfam family: Bacterial small subunit ribosomal RNA
Source: RNAcentral
CAGCAGCAGCCGCGGGAAUACGUAGGUCCCGAGCGUUGUCCGGAUUUAUUGGGCGUAAAGGGAGCGCAGGCGGUUUAGUAAGUCUGAAGUUAAAGGCAUUGGCUCAACCAAUGUAUGCUUUGGAAACUGUUUAACUUGAGUGCAAGAGGGGAGAGUGGAAUUCCAUGUGUAGCGGUGAAAUGCGUAGAUAUAUGGAGGAACACCGGUGGCGAAAGCGGCUCUCGGGCUUGUAACUGACGCUGAGGCUCGAAAGCGUGGGGCGCAAACAGGAUUAGAUACCCCCGUAGUCCCUGUCUCUUAUACA